Molecule: ribosomal RNA, 253 nt
Filed under: uncultured bacterium
Lineage: Bacteria
Description: partial 16S ribosomal RNA
Rfam family: Bacterial small subunit ribosomal RNA
Source: RNAcentral
UACGGGGGGGUAAGCGUUGUUCGGAAUUACUGGGCGUAAAGGGCUCGUAGGCGGCCAACUAAGUCGGACGUGAAAUCCCUCAGCUUAACUGGGGAACUGCGUCCGAUACUGGAUGGCUUGGAUUUGGGAGAGGGAUGCGGAAUUCCAGGUGUAGUGGUGAAAUGCGUAGAUAUCGGGAGGAACACCAGUGGCGAAGGCGACUUCCUGGCCUGUUCGUUGACGCUGAGGCGCGAAAGCUAGGGGAGCAAACGGG